RNAcentral lists this small nuclear RNA (117 nucleotides) under Tetrahymena thermophila. RNAcentral's name for it is "snRNA U3-1". Lineage: Eukaryota; Ciliophora; Oligohymenophorea; Hymenostomatida; Tetrahymenidae. The record is from RNAcentral.
AAACCAUAAAAAUUGAAAAGCAAGUUUGGUAUAUAAAGCAAAACCGCAUGCCUAUAAGAAUUUCUUUUAACCCCCCCUUAAUUAAUUAAACAAAACAUUAUUCUUUUCUUCUUAAAC